GUUCUGUGAAGUAGUGUGAUGAGUUAAGGGAGUGGGGGCAAGUUAAGACUUUGAUGCAGAGUGAUUCUUGAUGCUUGACGCGGGAUGAUUCUUGAUGCCGAGAUAUUGGGAACUGGUGCGGAGUGUGGUUGAGAAUUGGUGCAAAAUCAUUCCUCUCCACUGAUGUAGAGUGAAGGGUCUCUAAUAUGAAACAAAGUGAAGAGGGAAUGAGGAGAUUGCAGAAGAAUCUACAGAAUGAAGCAGAUGAAACAAAGUGAAGAUGAAGUGAGGAAAUUCCAGAAUGAGGAUUGAAGUGUGAAGAGUGAAGAGUUCUGAGGAGUGAAGAGUGAAGAAUUUUUGUUUGUGUGAAAAUGAUCCCUCCCCUAUCAAUCACAGUAAGUCUCUUUUUAUAGUUUUCCAAAAUUCUGUUAUGAAAUUCAAUGCGAAAUUAAAUUGAAAUUCAUGUUCAAAUUAGUUAGUUAGAAACUCAUAAUUUAGUUGGAGUUAAAUUCAAAUGAAAUGAAAAUUUUAAUUCAUUCUUCCCUUUUGAGAUGCAUAUUCUGUUAGUCACACGUUGAGAUGAAAAUUAACUUGAAAUUAUCAAUUAGUUAGUGUAAGACCCCAAUUUUGACCCUAAGGUCCCUCAUGCUAUCUCAUCAUAU
Molecule: long non-coding RNA, 641 nt
Filed under: Lathyrus oleraceus (garden pea)
Lineage: Eukaryota; Viridiplantae; Streptophyta; Magnoliopsida; Fabales; Fabaceae
Description: Pisum sativum (pea) long non-coding RNA (PSAT_LNC038257)
Source: RNAcentral